RNAcentral lists this ribosomal RNA (741 nucleotides) under uncultured bacterium. RNAcentral's name for it is "bacterial SSU rRNA". It matches the Rfam family "Bacterial small subunit ribosomal RNA", at positions 12 to 801 of the family's 1533-position model. The record is from RNAcentral.
UUUGAUCCUGGCUCAGAGCGAACGCUGGCGGCAGGCUUAACACAUGCAAGUCGAGCGGGGCUUCGGGGUCAGCGGCAGACGGGUGAGUAACGCGUGGGAACGUGCCUUCGGUUCGGAAUAACUCAGGGAAACUUGAGCUAAUACCGGAUACGCCCUUUUGGGGAAAGGUUUAUCUGCCGAAGAUCGGCCCGCGUCUGAUUAGCUAGUUGGUGAGGUUAUGGCUCACCAAGGCGACGAUCAGUAGCUGGUCUGAGAGGAUGAUCAGCCACACUGGGACUGAGACACGGCCCAGACUCCUACGGGAGGCAGCAGUGGGGAAUAUUGGACAAUGGGGGCAACCCUGAUCCAGCCAUGCCGCGUGAGUGAUGACGGCCUUAGGGUUGUAAAGCUCUUUUCUCCGGGACGAUAAUGACGGUACCGGAGGAAUAAGCCCCGGCUAACUUCGUGCCAGCAGCCGCGGUAAUACGGAGGGGGCUAGCGUUGCCCGGAAUCACUGGGCGUAAAGGGCGCGUAGGCGGCUGAUUUAGUCGAGGGUGAAAGCCCGUGGCUCAACCACGGAAUUGCCUUCGAUACUGGGAGACUUGAGUUCGGAAGAGGUUGGUGGAACUGCGAGUGUAGAGGUGAAAUUCGUAGAUAUUCGCAAGAACACCGGUGACGAAGGCGGCCAACUGGUCCGACACUGACGCUGAGGCGCGAAAGCGGGGGAGCAAACAGGAUUAGAUACCCUGGUAGUCAAUCACU